RNAcentral lists this transfer-messenger RNA (361 nucleotides) under Pirellulaceae bacterium. It matches the Rfam family "transfer-messenger RNA". From Rfam's summary of the family: Bacterial tmRNA, also known as 10Sa RNA or SsrA, is named for its dual tRNA and mRNA-like properties. Its role is to liberate the mRNA from a stalled ribosome. To accomplish this part of the tmRNA is used as a reading frame that ends in a translation stop signal. Lineage: Bacteria; Pseudomonadati; Planctomycetota; Planctomycetia; Pirellulales; Pirellulaceae. The record is from RNAcentral.
GGGGGCGAAUUGGAUUCGACCGGGCGAUGGAAGUGUAGACGGCGUGCCGUGGUUGGUCAGCAGGCCACGUUAAAAGCCGACCAAUAAACUUAAUUGCCGAGUCUAAUCUCGCAAUGGCUGCCUAAUAAAGGCAACCCCGGCUGAGGGCUUUCGCCGGAGAGGCCCGACUGCCGGCCACAAUUCCGGAUCGUCUCGGGUCACCGUUGGGCACGCCCGAGAUUAAAAAUGUUUCCGACUAGCUUUGGUUUCACCCCGUCGGUUGGGGGCUAUCGAAGCGAAGGCGUAAAUCAUCCGACUACGCACGUAGAAGCAUGCACGGAAACGUCGCGGGACGCGGGUUCGAUCCCCGCCGCCUCCACCU